RNAcentral lists this ribosomal RNA (535 nucleotides) under uncultured bacterium. RNAcentral describes it as "bacterial SSU rRNA". It matches the Rfam family "Bacterial small subunit ribosomal RNA", at positions 8 to 526 of the family's 1533-position model. The record is from RNAcentral.
AGAGUUUGAUCCUGGCUCAGGACGAACGCUGGCGGCGUGCCUAAUACAUGCAAGUAGAACGCUGAAGACUUUAGCUUGCUAAAGUAGGAAGAGUGCGAACGGGUGAGUAACGCGUAGGUAACCUGCCUACUAGCGGGGGAUAACUAUUGGAAACGAUAGCUAAUACCGCAUAACAGCAUUUAACCCAUGUUAGAUGCUUGAAAGGAGCAAUUGCUUCACUAGUAGAUGGACCUGCGUUGUAUUAGCUAGUUGGUGAGGUAACGGCUCACCAAGGCGACGAUACAUAGCCGACCUGAGAGGGUGAUCGGCCACACUGGGACUGAGACACGGCCCAGACUCCUACGGGAGGCAGCAGUAGGGAAUCUUCGGCAAUGGGGGCAACCCUGACCGAGCAACGCCGCGUGAGUGAAGAAGGUUUUCGGAUCGUAAAGCUCUGUAGUAAGAGAAGAACGUGUGUGAGAGUGGAAAGUUCACACAGUGACGGUAACUUACCAGAGAGGGACGGCUAACUACGUGCCAGCAGCCGCGGUAAUAC